RNAcentral lists this antisense RNA (116 nucleotides) under Lentibacillus amyloliquefaciens. RNAcentral describes it as "Listeria sRNA rli30". It matches the Rfam family "Listeria sRNA rli30". Rfam says of the family: Coevolved with internalin gene lmo2445. Paired with CDS partners lmo0501 and lmo0508. Antisense to lmo0506. Lineage: Bacteria; Bacillati; Bacillota; Bacilli; Caryophanales; Bacillaceae. The record is from Rfam by way of RNAcentral.
UUGACAUACUCCGCAUAAGAACCCGGGCGCCAUGCACCAAUGACAUGGAGAUUUUCACAGCGGGCAAGCUCACCUUUCUGACAGCUUUCACAUUUGCCGCAAUAAAAUGCCGGACA